This 1219-nucleotide long non-coding RNA is filed under the name Anser brachyrhynchus (Pink-footed goose). RNAcentral's name for it is "lncRNA (ENSABRG00000005035.1)". The record is from RNAcentral. Lineage: Eukaryota; Metazoa; Chordata; Aves; Anseriformes; Anatidae.
UAAGAAACCUUACUGAGGAAACAAAACAAACCAAAACAAAAUGGAGCAAAACAAAUGAAACAAGCAGCUAGCUUGCUGGAGACAUUGUCUGGAAAACAGUGAAAACACUUCCAAACAAAAAUAUAUCAAAGGACUAAUGCUUUGAGCUUAAUUCUAAAGAAACGUCAUAAACUCAAACUCUUGUUUAUGUUCAUAACAGAAAGCAACAGACUGGUAUAGUAACAUGUCACAUUUGAUGACUGCAGCAUAGAUGUCAGGAAUGCAGCUUGGGAUCACCUCCUUCUACUUAGAGUUUAGUUUGAAGGGAUGAGCAAGUAAUUUUUCCUGGGUUGAUGGAAAUCUGUUCUAAAGUCUGUUUUCUAACACUCUCAUAGAUACUUCUCUGUCCAUCGCUCUGUCCUGCCAACUCUGCUGUGAGUGUGAAGUUGUGGCAAGAGGGAUUUCCUAUUCCUAAUGUGACCUGGUGGACACCAACUUUCCUACUAAAUUGCCGAUGUUGCUGAGGAGGCAGCAGUAUCAAAGCCCUUGUGGAUGAAGAUAUAACAAGUUUGGGGAGGCUUUGGCAUUUCUGUACAAUGCUGCUCCCUGAUUGUGACCCAAGACUCAGAUUCUGAAGGAAGCAAAGCAAGCUGGAGGAAAACUGUAUGCCCUGUCUCCAAAACUCCAUAUUAUAGCUGAUCUUCAUCUCUGAUCUGAAAAGCUUCACAGGCCAGAAGAGAAUUGAGAUGAGGAAGGAAGCAGAGAAUGCUGAUGAAUAUUUCCAAUUACCACCCCAACUUACGUCUUGGUUCUUCACAUCAAACCAGAGCAGUUUCUUUGCCUUCACAACCUGCAGACUGACCUCUCGUGUGUACCUGUGGUGGAUUGAAGAAACCACUUGGCUAGCAAAGCUAAAUCACUGAAAAUGGAAGUAGUGGAACUACUUCAAAACCGUGCUUCUGCUUCUAAGCAAAACUGCACUGUAGGUUGGGACAUAGCAAGAGGACGUGCCCAAGGCAGGGUGGAAUUGAAAGUCACCUGUCUGAGCCACAGAAAGAAGUCAGCGAUUCCCAGUUUGAGACUCUUGCUUGACUAGUGACCCAGCAGCUGUAACGCUUAUGAUUACUGCUGAUGGAUUCCCAUGAAUCAGCCAGUGAUAUAAGCUACGAGAAUGACUGAAGCGAUUUGAAGUGACGGUUCUCCCUCUUCGGCAUUCAAGUUUGUGAAAGAAAGGAGAAGA